AUUCCAGCUCCAAUAGCGUAUAUUAAAGUUGUUGCAGUUAAAAAGCUCGUAGUUGGAUCUCAGGGUGAGCUCAGUUGGUCGGCCUAAUUGGUCAGAACUGGCUGACUCUCCCUUGUUUCUGAAUCCCGGUCGGAGUUAAUUCUUCGUUCGUGGACUUCAGAUCGUUUACCUUGAAAAAAUUAGAGUGUUCAAAGCGGGCGUUUGCUUGAAUACAUUAGCAUGGAAUAAUGGAAUAGGACCCUGGUUCUAUUUUGUUGGUUUUGAGGACCAGAGUAAUGAUUAAUAGGGAUAGUUGGGGGCAUUCGUAUUCCGCCGAGAGAGGUGAAAUUCUCAGACCAGCGGAAGACGAACCACUGCGAAAGCACUUGCCAGGGAUGUUUUCAUCG
This 386-nucleotide ribosomal RNA is filed under the name Telonemia sp. RNAcentral describes it as "partial small subunit ribosomal RNA". It matches the Rfam family "Eukaryotic small subunit ribosomal RNA", at positions 582 to 975 of the family's 1831-position model. Lineage: Eukaryota; Telonemia. The record is from RNAcentral.